UAAAUCCUGGAUUACUAUUACUGCAGAGUC
This 30-nucleotide non-coding RNA is filed under the name Mus musculus (house mouse). Lineage: Eukaryota; Metazoa; Chordata; Mammalia; Rodentia; Muridae. The record is from RNAcentral.